CCUACGGGAGGCAGCAGUAGGGAAUCUUCCACAAUGGGCGAAAGCCUGAUGGAGCAACGCCGCGUGGGUGAAGAAGGUCUUCGGAUCGUAAAACCCUGUUGUUAGAGAAGAAAGUGCGUGAGAGUAACUGUUCACGUUUCGACGGUAUCUAACCAGAAAGCCACGGCUAACUACGUGCCAGCAGCCGCGGUAAUACGUAGGUGGCAAGCGUUAUCCGGUUUUAUUGGGCGUAAAGGGAACGCAGGCGGUCUUUUAAGUCUGAUGUGAAAGCCUUCGGCUUAACCGGAGUAGUGCAUUGGAAACUGGGAGACGUGAGUGCAGAAGAGGAGAGUGGAACGCCAUGUGUAGCGGUGAAAUGCGUAGAGAUAUGGAAGAACACCAGGGGCGAAAGCGGCUCUCUGGUCUGUAACUGACGCUGAGGUUCGAAAGCGUGGGUAGCAAACAGGAUUAGAUACCCCUGUAGUC
Molecule: ribosomal RNA, 465 nt
Filed under: uncultured bacterium
Lineage: Bacteria
Description: partial 16S ribosomal RNA
Rfam family: Bacterial small subunit ribosomal RNA
Source: RNAcentral